GGAGUACCGCUCCAUGUUACACAAGCGGUAUAAGUGGUGCAUGAGUCACGAGGAGGCCGCACUGUCCACACCACCGCACGUGACCGAUGACGACUGGUGGAUACUCUGCGAUAGAUUUUCGUCUGAUUCUUUUCAAAAGAGGAGCAAAAUAAAUUCUGACAAUAGGGGAAAGUUAGAAGUGAACCACGUAGCUGGUUCAAAGUCAUUUGCAGAAAUUCAUCACAACAUGCGAGAUUCCAUCACUAGCUAGCAGCCCGGACCAGUAGACCUCUACAGAGGGACUCACUGUCGAUAGGCGACGGAAUCUUGGGUACAUCCUAGAGCGGGCGAGAUUUGAGUAAAAAUCAUUACAUUGUAAAAUUUAAUUGCAUUAAAUUAUAAUAAUGUCAUUUUUUAGAGAAAAUUCAUAUGUUUUCAUAACAGGUGGCGAUGGACACCUUACGUAAUUAGCCCACUCCCGAUGGUACUUAGUGGAGUGAGCCGGAGAUCCUGAGUGAGGUGCUUGGCACCCGUUCUGGAUAUGUGGGUGGGCUUGGCCAUGGUGUCAAGCUCAUGGCACCCACUAGAGCUGCCUCCACCCAAUCCAUCGUCAUUAGCGAGAGCACCACCCGCCGAGCUGAUAUCGCAAAGAAAGAGGUUCAACAGCUAUGGGUCGUCAUCCAUGACAUCAGAGAGCAGCUGGAGAAGAAGAGUGAGCAGCUGGAGAGGUAGAGGAGGGAGCAGGAGAGGAGGAGGAUGGAGGAGCAGGCGAGGAGGAGAGAGGAGCAGGAGAGGAGGAUGGAGGAGAUGCGGGUGAAGCAUGAGCGACGGAUGACAGAGAUGUUUCAGGCUCUUGUUGCACCCUUACACACUGAUGCUCCACCACCUCAGCCGUCAUCUUUGUGAUUUUUUGUAUUUUAUUUAUGAUUUUAAACUUAUAUGUAUUUAUGUGUGAAUGAAUGUCAUGUUGAUAUUUAGAUGGAUUUACGUACUUUGGGUUUAAAUGGAUGUGAAUGUGAAUAUGAUGAAAUAUUUAUAUAACAGGUGUA
Molecule: long non-coding RNA, 1028 nt
Organism: Magnolia sinica
Lineage: Eukaryota; Viridiplantae; Streptophyta; Magnoliopsida; Magnoliales; Magnoliaceae
Exons: 4
Source: RefSeq, a predicted model, not a curated record